Non-coding RNA from Bombyx mori (domestic silkworm), 85 nucleotides. Lineage: Eukaryota; Metazoa; Arthropoda; Insecta; Lepidoptera; Bombycidae. The record is from Rfam.
UUAGUACAAGUUUGUAUGGAAUUGGAAGAACUGCCCUUCGUUUGCCGCUAAGGGCGCUGUUCCAACUCCAUACAAAUUUGAGUUA